CCUACGGGUGGCAGCAGUAGGGAAUCUUGCACAAUGGGGGCAACCCUGAUGCAGCGACGCCGCGUGAGUGAAGAAGUAUUUCGUUAUGUAAAGCUCUAUUAGUAGGGAAGAAAAUGACGGUGCCUGAGUAUGAAGCCCUGGAGAACUUCGUGCCAGCAGCCGCGGUAAUACGUAGGGGGCACGGGUUAUGCGGAUUUACUGGGUGGAAAGGGAGCGUAGUCGGCAGUGCAAGUCUGGAGUGAAAGGCGGGGGCUCAACCGCCGGAGCGCUUUGGAAACUGUACAGCUUGAGUGCAGGAGAGGUAAGUGGAAUUCCUAGUGUAGCGGUGAAAUGCGUAGAUAUUAGGAGGAACACCAGUGGCGAAGGCGACUUACUGGACUGUAACUGACGUUGAGGCUCGAAAGCGUGGGGAGCAAACAGGAUUAGAUACCCGGGUAGUC
RNAcentral lists this ribosomal RNA (440 nucleotides) under uncultured bacterium. RNAcentral's name for it is "partial 16S ribosomal RNA". It matches the Rfam family "Bacterial small subunit ribosomal RNA", at positions 338 to 795 of the family's 1533-position model. The record is from RNAcentral.